Non-coding RNA from Kogia breviceps (pygmy sperm whale), 4701 nucleotides. Lineage: Eukaryota; Metazoa; Chordata; Mammalia; Artiodactyla; Physeteridae. The record is from RefSeq and is a predicted model, not a curated record.
CGGCCUCCUCCCGGGUCAGAUCCUGGCCAUCUCCCCCGCCGGAAACGGGAACAGCGGUGGCGGAGGGACACCGAGCACCAGGGCCGGCCGGGAGACGCGCCACGAUAAUCCGGGUCGGGACUCGGGUCCCUGGGUUCCAGGUCACAGUGGGGUACGCAGCGGCCUCCGGGCCCGAGGGAAGCAGGGAAUCCGGGCGGAGGAGCUCCCGAUCGUGCUCGUCUUCCUAGCCUCGGCAGCAAAAACACCAGAUGCGCCGGGCGCUGACCUGCGGGGGAGUCCGGAGUCCUCCAAGUGCCCCCGGGGGUGGAGAAGAGCGACCUCGGCCGCGCUCUCGGCUCGGGCAGCGCAACGCGGAAGUACCACCUUCGUCUCCGCUUCACUCCAUCGGGCCCUGACGUUGGGUGCGAGUUCAGGGGAGGGGAGUGGGCGAGACAACAACACGCCUCCGCCGCCUCCUUCUCCUCGUCGACGUUGUCCUCCAGUAGUGGCGGCGACACACGGCGGGCGCCUCAGAAGUGGCCUGGGCCUGACAACAACUCCCGGCCUAGGGCCUCGCGCACUCUGCGGCCCUCAGGGACGGGCGGCGGGGCGGGGCGAGGCGGGGGCGACCGGGCUGCGGCUCACGGCUGGGGCAGCGAGUGUGCGGGGCUGGGCGGGGGGCUGUUUCCGGGGAGAUGGGGGCGGGGGGGGCGUUUCUGAGUCUGUGGGGGUGGGUAUGGGCCCUGACUUUCUUCUUCCUUCGGCGCGGCGAGCAGAGGUGGCGGUGCUGCCCCUUUCCUCCGCUCCCCCCCCCCUCCACGAGGAGGCUCCUGGUGUGCGCGGCCGGCCCGGCUCGCUCCUCCCCUUCCCUCUCGGCUCCUCGUCAUGAGGAGGGAGGGAGAUGGGACUUGCUGGUUGGGCCCUAACCUCCACAACCCCUCCUUCUAGCCUCGCUCUUUCGGCCUUUCCCCUCUUCGGCCCUGACGCAAGGCCGGGGGCGCGCACGCACGUCGCGCUCCGAGAAAGCCCAAGUAUUGCUGCCUGAAGUGCCUACACCCUAAACCAGUUAGCGAGUGGGUUUUUCCAAAAAACUACGAUCAACCUGCCCCAUCAUCCUACUUUGAAAAGCCUGGAGUAACAGAACAAGGAGAGCAAAAUGGAUUUAUCUAGCAGUUCGUCACAUAUGACCAACUCCAGGGGACACGGGUUCGAGCCCUGCUCCGGGAAGAUCCCACAUGCUGCGGAGCAACUAAGCCCGUCUGCCACAACUACUGAGCCUGCGCUCUAGAGCCCGCGAGCCACAACUACUGAAGCCCGCGUGCCACAACUACUGAAGCCCGUACUCCAUAGGAAGAGAAGCCACCGCAGUGAGAAGCCGGUGCACCGCCGCGAAGAGUAGCCCCUGCACGCCGCAGCUAGACAAAGCCCGCACGCAGCAACAAAGACCCAAUGCAGCCAAAAAUAAAUAAAUUAAUUAAGAAGCUACUGUGGAGUUUUGGUGUAGUAUCAAAGAAUACCCACAAUUAUCUGGAAAAGCUAUUAAAAUACUCCCUCGCUUUUCCAACAACAUAUCUUUUUCAUACAUUUACACCAAAAUAACAUAUUGCAACAAAUUGCAUAAAAAGGCUGAUAUGAGAAUCAGUUUCAGUCCUACUAAACCAGUCGAAAGGAGAUCUGUAGAAAGGUAAAACAUUAAUCCUCUAAUAUUUUUGUUUUGUAAAGAUAGUUUCUUUCAUUUAAAUGUGUUAGUUGUGUUAAUAUAUGAUGAAGUUAUUGUUAUUUUGAAUGACUCUUUUUUUCUUUUUGGUGCCGUGCUGCACAGCUUGCAGGAUCCUAGCUCCCGGACCAGGGAUCGAACCCAGGCCCUCGGUAGUGAAAGUGCACAGGCCUGACCACUGGACUGCCAGGGAAUUCCCUAAAUGAAUAUUUUUAAAUUGUCUCCAUUUUUAUUUCUAAUAUCAACAGAUAUAACUCAUAUAAACAAAAGCUCUUUUGUGGUCCUCAGAAAUUUUUUGAUGUGUGAAAGGAUCUUCAGACCAAAACCUUUGAGAAAUGCCAUACAAAAUCAUUAAAAUUCCAGUGCUUCUGUUCAUGCUUCUAGUGGUACAAACAGUUCACAGAUAGGUCAUGCACUCUCAUUCCAGAAUCUUCCUUAUAACUAGGAGUUUCUGCAGUGUCUUUCAACAUUGCUUCUCCUUUAGAGAAAUUGGUUGUUUGAGUUUUUAUUAGGUUUUUCUCAGUCUUGAAAAAGUUUAAGCUCUCCUUACUUCAGCCCACUAUUCUUUAUCAUAAGGAAGAAUAUCAAGCAUAUUAUUGUUAAAAGAGAGAAAAGCAAAGCCAAAGCAAUGGAACUUUUCAAUUUAAUUAUAAAAAGAAGUAGUGGCCAGUAUUUAUGUGCACUUACUAUGUGUCAGGCUCUGUGCUAAGUGCUUUGUAUUUAUCUUCUCAUUUAAUCCUAUCAACAGUGCCUAAAAAUCGGUUGACCAUAGUCCUCAGUUUCCCUGGGGUGGUCCUGGUUUAUGCCAUUUGUUCAAGCAUAAUUAUUAAUAAUAUCCCCCUGCCAGCACAUAAGUUUCCCAGUUUGGACAUAAAUUAUAUGAUCACCCUCCCUGUAAAAAUUACUGUCCACAGUUUACAAAUUAGGAAACUUGAGGCAUAGAGAGAUUGAGUGUCUUGCCCAAAGUACACUGCUAGUAAAUGUGGGUGUGGGAUCCUAACCCAGGUCUGUCGAGCUUUGUAGUUAAGCCUUUUAAAGAAUUACAAACUGUUUCACAGUGAUAUCAAUGCUCCUGAGAUUUACGUUGACCCCAACUAUAGUAAUAUAUUCCAGAAUAAAAGAAAGUAGAACACAAAAAUUUAUGAUAAAAUUUUAAGUUCAAUUUCAGUUGUAAAACACUGAUGUGAUAGAUGUGCUAUUCCGACACUCAUCUUUUACACAGUUCAGAGGUGCACACUUGCUAUCAACACUUUGUAGAAAACCAGUGCUGCUUCUGUGUUGGGGCUUGCGUGGGAGUGCAGUUCUUGCUGGUUCAGUAAAGCUGAAGGAUGCCUAUUUACAAAACAGGAAAGGUGGACCAAACUGUUAGAGGCCUUCCUAAUUAGGGAUUCUCCCUGAUCAUAAGUAACAGAACUGGAGUUUCGUUGGGUGUAUAAAUGUGCCUAGCUUAAAACUACAUCUCCCAGCACGUCCUGCAGAUGAAGGAGCUGACCAUGCUAUGCAGUCCUGGCCAACAAAAUGUAAGUAGAAGUUGUUGGAUGAGGCUUCUGGGAAUGCUUUCUUAAAAUGGAAGGCCAAUUUAGCUGACCUUGCCUUUUACUUUUCUUUACAUCUGGAACUCAAAUGCAAUACUGGAGUUUGAGCAGCCAUCUUGUGACUACAAAGGAACAAGCACAUGUUAAAGAUGGCUAGGUGAAGGGAAGAGAGAAGGACCUGGCUCUCUGAGGACAUUGUGGAUCUACCAAAUCAACCCUGGACUGAAAAAGACAUAUAAAACUGGCACCCAGGCACCAGGCUUGUGUAUACUGAGGCUUCUGCUUAAAACCCUUCAGUUGCCCCCAGCUGCUUCUAGGAGAAAGUGCUGAUGCCAGCAGGGGGCUUACAUCACUCUGCAUAAUCCGAGUCCCACUUAUGGCUCCAGACUCCUCUUUCUCUCUCUGCUCAAACUCUGCACUUCAGUCAUCUGGAACUUCUUUUCAGUUCGUUGAAGGUCCUGUUCGUCUCUCAACGCUGGGCCGUCACACGGGCUGCUCCCUCUGUGUGGAAUACGCAACCCACCUCCUACCUCCCCACUAAGGUGUAAUUUUUACAUAUUCGAAUGUCAAAUUUAGGUACUACUUGAAGCUUUCUCCAACCGCCCCCACCACUACCAUCACUAAGGUUGGAUUAAGUGUUCCUCUUUUGUGUUCCUGAUGAAUAAUGUCCUUCCCCAUCAAGCAUGUACUGCAGUCUUCUCUUUCCUUGUCUGUUUCCUCCAAUAGACUGUAGGUUGCAACUCAACAGAAAGUGUCUACUCACCAUCAUAUUAAGCCUCACCCAAUGUAUGGUACCUGGUAGUUUCUGAAUGAAUAAUGAGAGAAUUAAUGAAUGGAUUGAUCUUGCUGAUUCAUCAAUUAAAGGACUUCUGUUGAAAGUAACAGCUACAUUAACAAUCUUAAAGGAAUUUAUUGGAAGGAUAUAAAGGGCUCAUGAAUUGACAGGAAGUUGUAAUACCAGGCUGGAAAAAUAGGUAAAGACCCAGGUAACUCAAGCAGCCAAGAAGCUGGAAAAUGUUAGCAGGAAUAGCCCAAUAGCCUGGGAAGGACGAAGUUACCUUUGUUGUAGGGCAUUGCUGCUGCCUCUUUGGGAUUCCACCUCAACUGCCCUUGGAGAUAAUCUCCCCAGUGCUGGGAAUUAAAUUUCAUUGCCCCAAGGAAACCAUAAACAAGACAAAAAGACAACCCUCAGAAUGGGAGAAAAUAUUUGCAAAUGAAGCAACUGACAAAGGAGUAAUCUCCAGAAUUUACAAGCAGCUCAUGCAGCUCAAUAUCAAAAAAACAACCCAAUCCAAAAAUGGGCAGAAGACCUAGACAUUUCUCCAAAGAAGGUAUACAGAUUGCCAACAAACACAUGAAAGGAUGCUCAACAUCACUAAUCAUUAGAGAAAUGCAAAUCAAAACUAUGAUGAGGUAUCACCUGACACCAGUCAGAAUGGCCAUCAUCAAAAAAUCUACAAACAAUAAAUG